GGUUAAGCGACUAAGCGUACACGGUGGAUGCCCUGGCAGUCAGAGGCGAUGAAGGACGUGCUAAUCUGCGAAAAGCGCCGGCGAGGUGAUAUGAACCUUUGACCCGGCGAUGUCCGAAUGGGGAAACCCAGUGUGAUUCGUCACACUAUCGUUAACUGAAUACAUAGGUUAACGAGGCGAACCGGGGGAACUGAAACAUCUAAGUACCCCGAGGAAAAGAAAUCAACCGAGAUUCCCCCAGUAGCGGCGAGCGAACGGGGAGCAGCCCAGAGUCUGAAUCAGCUUGUGUGUUAGUGGAAGCGUCUGGAAAGUCGCACGGUACAGGGUGACAGUCCCGUACACGAAAGCACACAGGUUGUGAACUCGAAGAGUAGGGCGGGACACGUGGUAUCCUGUCUGAAUAUGGGGGGACCAUCCUCCAAGGCUAAAUACUCCUGACUGACCGAUAGUGAACCAGUACCGUGAGGGAAAGGCGAAAAGAACCCCGGCGAGGGGAGUGAAAAAGAACCUGAAACCGUGUACGUACAAGCAGUGGGAGCACCUUCGUGGUGUGACUGCGUACCUUUUGUAUAAUGGGUCAGCGACUUAUAUUCUGUAGCAAGGUUAACCGUAUAGGGGAGCCGAAGGGAAACCGAGUCUU
RNAcentral lists this ribosomal RNA (640 nucleotides) under Enterobacter pseudoroggenkampii. Its description in RNAcentral is "partial 23S ribosomal RNA". It matches the Rfam family "Bacterial large subunit ribosomal RNA", at positions 1 to 685 of the family's 2925-position model. Lineage: Bacteria; Pseudomonadati; Pseudomonadota; Gammaproteobacteria; Enterobacterales; Enterobacteriaceae. The record is from RNAcentral.